Molecule: unclassified non-coding RNA, 377 nt
Filed under: uncultured Simkaniaceae bacterium
Lineage: Bacteria; Pseudomonadati; Chlamydiota; Chlamydiia; Parachlamydiales; Simkaniaceae
Description: contains 16S-23S intergenic spacer region
Source: RNAcentral
UCCUGGUUAACCCAGGCAGUCUCAUUAGAGUUCCCACCUCGCGUGUUGGCAACUAAUGAUAAGGGUUGCGCUCGUUGCGGGACUUAACCCAACACCUCACGGCACGAGCUGACGACAGCCAUGCAGCACCUACUCAGCAGUCCUUGCGGAAGUUACCAUCUCUGGUACUGUCUCCUGAAUUUCAAACCUGGGUAAGGUUCUUCGCGUUGCAUCGAAUUAAACCACAUGCUCCACUGCUUGUGCGGGCCCCCGUCAAUUCUUUUGAGUUUCACCCUUGCGAGCGUACUCCUCAGGCGGUAUACUUAUCGCGUUAGCUUCGACACAGUCAGGGUUGAGCCUAACUACAUCAAGUAUACAUCGUUUACGGCAAGGACUAC